AUGGAACCACGUCAGCCCGAGCUCGAGAAGUCCAGCGCUGCCACCGUGGACGAGGUGCUAAAGCCGGUGGAGGCGCCAUCGGACGGUGAAGGAUGCCCCAUAUGCUUGGAUCAAGAGGGGGCAACGGCCGUGUGGAAGGAGACAGUGUGGGGGCACAUCUUCCAUGGGCGAUGCGUGGAGAGGUGGCUCCAGACGAAGGGAAGUUGCCCCAUGUGUCGGCGACAGCUUCAACAACCACGUGCUCCUGCAAAACCAGAUGUUCGAUAUCGUAGCCCCCUCAUAUUUUUGGCGAUGGAAUUGGAAGACAACUCUCCUCUUUCAAAUCGUACUAACUAUUUUAGACAAUACAGGGAGGAGACUUUUGUUGGAUGA
This 372-nucleotide ribosomal RNA is filed under the name Triticum aestivum (bread wheat). Its description in RNAcentral is "partial small subunit ribosomal RNA". Lineage: Eukaryota; Viridiplantae; Streptophyta; Magnoliopsida; Poales; Poaceae. The record is from RNAcentral.